This 28-nucleotide non-coding RNA is filed under the name Rattus norvegicus (Norway rat). Lineage: Eukaryota; Metazoa; Chordata; Mammalia; Rodentia; Muridae. The record is from RNAcentral.
UGACUUUUCUUGAGUACCCUUUGUGCAC